Dermacentor albipictus is the source of this 1647-nucleotide non-coding RNA. The record is from RefSeq and is a predicted model, not a curated record. Lineage: Eukaryota; Metazoa; Arthropoda; Arachnida; Ixodida; Ixodidae.
UGAUGUCACAUCCGGCCUUUUUGGCGGCAUAAUAUGGCAUAUGGCAGGCUCGGAGUGCACGAAGCGGUGGAUCGCUUAUUUUUCGGGCUUUUGCUUCUCGUAAGUAUACUUCGUCUUUGCGUUUGAUGUGCAUCUACUACGCGUAGCUAAUCUUUCGACUGCAUGAUGCCAUAUAUAGGUGUUCUGUGAUGAUACUUUAUAGCCAGGUUCCUCACGAGCUUUUGUGAUGCAUUGCAGGGACCGCCACACCGGCCAGCCAGUGCUACAGUGUCCUAAUGCAGAGAACGUAUAUUACACGGAACUGCGCUCCUUCAGAGUUAUUUAGAGUCUUUGUCAGAAGCACGUAACAGUAACAUUACUUGGUUACGGUGCUGCUACAUGGCAGAAUAUUUGAAUGGCAGAUGUCCCGAGUGCGGCAUGUAAGUACGUACGUACGCGCGCUUGUUUAGCCUAAAUAAGAGUUUCUAUUGUUCCCCAAUGGAAAUGCACAUUCCUGAUGCACGGUUCAGAUCUGCCGGCUAAGGGCGGUAGUGAAUAAAGUCACCAAAUUGCGGCCUCGUUGCGGUCUCGCAUUGCGGCCUCAUUGCACGGUCGGGAAAAAUUGCUUUAGAACCAAAAUUUCGCUGCGCUGUCAGUAGCCAUUCACUGAUAAGCUUUCUCCGCAGCGUAAUGCUCAGUGCAGGUGUGAUGGGGGUUGUGUGUGCGGUCGGUAUGUGACCGAUAUUCCUGAACGCAGUGUCAUUCAGCGAUGUGCACAGCUGUGGCUGAUUGUAGAAUGUGGGCUGUGACAGGAGUGAUGGGGACCAUGCUCCUGCCUCGGCCAAGGUUGCAGCGAUUUCAGAGCUGCAGGGAGCGCCCAGGCAGAACCUAAUCUCGGCCCUAUGCUGCAGCUCCAGCUUCUUGAGACGGGCACGUGGUAGUGCCACGAGUGGGAGGACGUACCGCAGGCGUGAGGUGGCUACUGCAUGGUACAGCCGCAGAGCCCACCUAGUGGUGCAGCUCUGUCCUCGGGCAACAAGCUGGGAGACUGCCUUGUGGACCCGGAGGACCUGGACAUGCAGGGUCUUGACAGCAGGCAGCCAGGUCAGCCGGUGAUGAACGUGUAGCCCCGGGUACGUCACUGCCGGGCUUCAAGGUCGCCUUCCAGUUGCAGCUGUGCAGCGGGCGGUUGCUCUUGGGUGGAGCAGCAUGGCCUCCGUCUUCCUUGCCGAGAUGGCAAGGCCAAUGCAGCUCAGUCUGCAGGACAGCAGGCAGUCGGGCCAGGUUGAACAGGAAAGGGCUCACCACUGAUCCUUGUGGGACGCCCUCUACCAAAUAGGUCCAGGGCCUGCUGAACGACUGGAUAGGGCAGGCCGUCAAAGGCCCCCUUCAUGCCGAUAAGCACCAGGAGCACGGCGUCACCGCAGGCCUUGGCCUCUUCCAGCGUGGAGACCACGUCCACGAUGGAGUCCGCACUGCAUCAGCUCCGCCGGAAGCCUAUCUGCUCAUCGGCCAGAAAGCAAUGGCCUCCAUCAGCUUGCAAGCAGCAGAGGAAGCCAUCAUCUGGUGCUGUGUACAGCAAGCACAUGCUUCGGGCAAGGAGGGAGCCAGCACCAUAUCUACAUCAGCAAGAACCUCGGUGCUCAAAAUAAACAUUUUCUGUGCAAA